Long non-coding RNA from Anas platyrhynchos (mallard), 1183 nucleotides. RefSeq lists it as uncharacterized. NCBI's taxonomy places the organism in Eukaryota, Metazoa, Chordata, Aves, Anseriformes, Anatidae. The record is from RefSeq and is a predicted model, not a curated record.
CAGGAGAGGAUUUAAUGCUGCUGGGUCUGCAAGGGGUGGUGGGGUUGGUUGGGCCAGAUUGGCUUUGGUUAGUGCUAGGAAGCUUCUAGGCCUUGAGGGCUGUGCUGAUAGGGCAGACUGGCAUGACUGUGCAAAGCCAUCUGGGGCUAUGAGGGCUGCUAGGUCCUCUCCUGCAGAGCUGCUUUCCUGCUAGGUGGUCCCCAAAGGCACUCCUAUUUGUGCAAGAAGCAGCCAGUGCGGCAGCACUGUGUGCUCACCUCCCUCCUCUUUGGUGGAACUGCAUCCGGGGAUGAAUUUGGCUCAUUGCACUUGCUUCCAAGGACCCAAAGGGUAGCUCCUAUUGCAUCUUGCAACUACUGCUUUCGGCCAACGCUAAUAGCAACUCCUGCGUGGUCAGCGAAUUCUUUGGGAGGAUAGAAGCCGCCCUUAGUCCACAUGCAUAUUACAAAAGAUAUUUUCAGCCAUGUGCAGCUGUAAUCAACAGAGCUCAGCUUGGCAAUUUUAAUCCCCUGCCAUCUAGUUUGGGGUUGCUUGUUAUGCAGCCGGCAUUCACUCAACAUAAUGGUUGCUACCUGCCAAUGUGCUUUGAGGGAUAUUGUUAGCAUUAAAUUUGCCAUUUACAUUUUCAUGUUUGACAUAAUUGAGGAAUGAAUGCUCUUAUGAAAAUUAAACUUGUGGUCCUCCUGGACUACUGUAACCCUGUUAAAAUGUAAUGCGAUUCUUGAUGCGUCUUCUUUAGGUUUUUAUUAAAUAGAAUAUCUGUAUGACUAAUUCCCCUGGCCUAAAUGUAGGCUGGGAAGGAGCAUUAUUGAUAGGGCUGAGCACAAAUGGCCCUCUAUACUCAGCCUCUAAUGGCCUAAUAAUGCAUUAUACUUGAAUCAGAAAUACUUUCAGUUGUAGUGCUUAUUGCCAUUAUUGAAAACACCUGGAUGCUCCAUUCAUCAAGGUUACAUCAAAAUGGGCCCAUUUGUUUAUUAGUCUGUCAGUAAACAUCUUUAUUUAGUUUCAUGUUCCUCUGCUCUCAGUAACAUCGGGGAGGACGAGACCAUGUAGUGUAUCUUUCUGUGGUUUCCCGUUAUUAGUUUUCCCUUGAAAAGAAAGAUAAUGAAAAGUUUGGAUGGCUUCAUAAAGAAAACAUUUUUCUUGGACUUUUUUUUCUUUUUUCUUUCCCUUUUAGAAGGGG